Molecule: ribosomal RNA, 253 nt
Filed under: uncultured bacterium
Lineage: Bacteria
Description: partial 16S ribosomal RNA
Rfam family: Bacterial small subunit ribosomal RNA
Source: RNAcentral
UACGGAGGGGGCGAGCGUUGUUCGGAAUUACUGGGCGUAAAGGGCGCGUAGGCGGGCGAUCAAGUCAGGGGUGAAAGGCCUGGGCUCAACCUGGGAAUUGCCUUUGAAACUGAUUGUCUAGAGUCCGGAAGAGGAUGGCGGAAUUCCCAGUGUAGAGGUGAAAUUCGUAGAUAUUGGGAAGAACACCAGUGGCGAAGGCGGCCAUCUGGUCCGGUACUGACGCUGAGGCGCGAAAGCGUGGGGAGCAAACAGG